Molecule: ribosomal RNA, 726 nt
Filed under: uncultured archaeon
Lineage: Archaea
Description: bacterial SSU rRNA
Rfam family: Archaeal small subunit ribosomal RNA
Source: RNAcentral
GGGAAACUGGUGAUAAUACCGAAUAGACCAUUUAUGCUGGAAUGCUUUUUGGUUCAAAGGCUUCGGCUGCNUAAGGAUGGAUCUGCGGCCUAUCAGGUAGUAGUGGGUGUAAUGUACCUACUAGCNUACGACGGGUACGGGUUGUGAGAGCAAGAGCCCGGAGAUGGAUUCUGAGACAUGAAUCCAGGCCCUACGGGGCGCAGCAGGNGNGAAAACUUUACAAUGCGGGAAACCGCGAUAAGGGGACACUGAGUGCCAGCAUAUUAUGUUGGCUGUCCACAUGUAUAAAAACCAUGUGUUAGCAAGGGCCGGGCAAGACCGGUGCCAGCCGCCGCGGUAACACCGGCGGCCCGAGUGGUGAUCACUUUUAUUGGGUCUAAAGGGUCCGUAGCCGGUUUGAUCAGUCUUCUGGGAAAUCUGACAGCUCAACUGUUAGGCUUUCAGGGGAUACUGUUAGACUUGGGACCGGGAGAGGUAAGAGGUACUACAGGGGUAGGAGUGAAAUCUUGUAAUCCCUGUGGGACCACCAGUGGCGAAGGCGUCUUACCAGAACGGGUCCGACGGUGAGGGACGAAAGCUGGGGGCACGAACCGGAUUAGAUACCCGGGUAGUCCCAGCCGUAAACGAUGCUCGCUAGGUGUCAGGGACGGUGCGACCGUUUCUGGUGCCGCAGGGAAGCCGUGAAGCGAGCCACCUGGGAAGUACGGCCGCAAGGCUGAAACUUAA